This 451-nucleotide long non-coding RNA is filed under the name Homo sapiens (human). RNAcentral describes it as "non-protein coding lnc-DHX38-13:1". Lineage: Eukaryota; Metazoa; Chordata; Mammalia; Primates; Hominidae. The record is from RNAcentral.
CGAGUAGGUAUCUUCUCUUCUCUAUAGCCAAAGGGAUCUUUUUAAAACAGAAGUCAGGUCAGGUCCAUCCUCGAUCAAAAUGCUUCAAUGGCUUUCUGCCUCAUUCAAAAUCAAAGCCAAUACUAGGCCCUACUUGAUCCAAACUCCCUCAUCCCCAACCUUCUGCUCAUUUCCUGCUAUUCAUCUUCUCUCUCACUCUAUUCCAGCCUUCAUUCACCUCCGUGUUGUUCCUGGAAUGUGUCAAAUAUGCUGUCACUUUCAGGCCCUUAUAAGUACUGCUCCCUCUAGCUGAAACAUUCUUUUCCCAGAGUCAAAAACUUUUCCUGACCACUCAUUAUAAAAGAGCAAUCACCCUAACCCCUGGCACCCUAUACCCCCUUUACCUGAUUUAUUCGCCUCUAUAGUACUUAUUACCACCCAACAUAAAUAACAUAAAUUUACCUUUUGGUGA